CCUACGGGCGGCAGCAGUGGGGAAUAUUGGACAAUGGGCGGAACCCUGAUCCAGCGACGCCGCGUGAGUGAAGAAGUAUUUCGGGUUGUAAAGCUCUAUCAGCAGGGAAGAAAAUGACGGUACCUGACUAAGAAGCCCCGGCUCACUACGUGCCAGCAGCCGCGGUAAUACGUAGGGGGCGAGCGUUAUCCGGAUUUACUGGGUGUAAAGGGAGCGUAGACGGUGCAGCAAGUAAGAGGUGAAAGGUCGGGGUCCAACCCAGGGACUGCAGUGGAAACUGUUGAACUGGAGUGCGUGAGAGGUAAGCGGAAUUCCUGGGGUAGGAGUGAAAUGCGUAGAUAUCAGGAGGAACACCAGUGGCGAAGGCGACUUACUGGACUAUAACUGACGCUGAGGCUCGAAAGCGUGGGGAGCAAACAGGAUUAGAUACCCCAGUAGUC
RNAcentral lists this ribosomal RNA (440 nucleotides) under uncultured bacterium. RNAcentral's name for it is "partial 16S ribosomal RNA". It matches the Rfam family "Bacterial small subunit ribosomal RNA", at positions 338 to 795 of the family's 1533-position model. The record is from RNAcentral.